GGUUGAUAUUCCCGUACCGGUGUUGACGCGACCAUGCUGAACCUGGUUCGUGCUAACCGUCCGAUCUGCAUUCUGCUUUCGGGUGGGGUGUGGGGAGCGCGGGAUCCCGGCUGGUAGUAGGCAAGCGAUGGGGUGACGCAGGAGGGUAGUCCAGCCCAGGCGGUGGUUGUCCUGGGGCAAGGGUGUAGGGUGAGACAUAGGUAAAUCCGUGUCUUGUAUGCCUGAGACCUGAUGCCGAGCC
RNAcentral lists this ribosomal RNA (241 nucleotides) under uncultured endophytic bacterium. RNAcentral's name for it is "partial 23S ribosomal RNA". The record is from RNAcentral.